RNAcentral lists this ribosomal RNA (563 nucleotides) under uncultured bacterium. RNAcentral describes it as "bacterial SSU rRNA". It matches the Rfam family "Bacterial small subunit ribosomal RNA", at positions 338 to 916 of the family's 1533-position model. The record is from RNAcentral.
CCUACGGGAGGCAGCAGUGGGGAAUCUUGCGCAAUGGGCGAAAGCCUGACGCAGCAACGCCGCGUGCGGGAAGAAGGCCUUCGGGUUGUAAACCGCUUUCAGCAGGAACGAAAAUGACGGUACCUGCAGAAGAAGGUGCGGCCAACUAUGUGCCAGCAGCCGCGGUGAUACAUAGGCACCAAGCGUUGUCCGGAUUUAUUGGGCGUAAAGAGCUCGUAGGCGGUUCAGUCAGUCGGGUGUGAAAACUCUGGGCUUAACCCAGAGCCUGCACCCGAUACUGCUGUGACUAGAGUUCGGUAGGGGAGCGGGGAAUUCCUGGUGUAGCGGUGAAAUGCGCAGAUAUCAGGAGGAACACCGAUGGCGAAGGCACCGCUCUGGGCCGAAACUGACGCUGAGGAGCGAAAGCAUGGGUAGCAAACAGGAUUAGAUACCCUGGUAGUCCAUGCCGUAAACGUUGGGCACUAGGUGUGGGUUCCAAUCAACGGAAUCCGCGCCGUCGCUAACGCAUUAAGUGCCCCGCCUGGGGAGUACGGUCGCAAGACUAAAACUCAAAGGAUUGACGG